This 274-nucleotide ribosomal RNA is filed under the name uncultured bacterium. RNAcentral's name for it is "partial 16S ribosomal RNA". It matches the Rfam family "Bacterial small subunit ribosomal RNA", at positions 523 to 796 of the family's 1533-position model. The record is from RNAcentral.
AUACGGAGGGUGCAAGCGUUAUCCGGAAUCAUUGGGUUUAAAGGGUCCGUAGGCGGGCAAUUAAGUCAGAGGUGAAAUCCCACAGCUCAACUGUGGAACUGCCUUUGAUACUGAUUGUCUUGAGUUUUAGUGAAGUAGAUAGAAUGUGUAGUGUAGCGGUGAAAUGCAUAGAUAUUACACAGAAUAACGAUUGCGAAGGCAGUCUACUAACUAACAACUGACGCUAAUGGACGAAAGCGUGGGGAGCGAACAGGAUUAGAUACCCCAGUAGUCC